This 494-nucleotide ribosomal RNA is filed under the name uncultured Flavobacterium sp. RNAcentral describes it as "bacterial SSU rRNA". It matches the Rfam family "Bacterial small subunit ribosomal RNA", at positions 9 to 506 of the family's 1533-position model. Lineage: Bacteria; Pseudomonadati; Bacteroidota; Flavobacteriia; Flavobacteriales; Flavobacteriaceae. The record is from RNAcentral.
GAGUUUGAUCAUGGCUCAGGAUGAACGCUAGCGGCAGGCUUAACACAUGCAAGUCGAGGGGUAGAGUAGCAAUACUUGAGACCGGCGCACGGGUGCGUAACGCGUAUGCAACCUACCUUUUACAGAGGGAUAGCCCAGAGAAAUUUGGAUUAAUACCUCAUAGUAUAUGUCUUUCGCAUGUUAGACAUAUUAAAGUUCCAACGGUAAAAGAUGGGCAUGCGUCCUAUUAGCUAGAUGGUAAGGUAACGGCUUACCAUGGCAACGAUAGGUAGGGGUCCUGAGAGGGAGAUCCCCCACACUGGUACUGAGACACGGACCAGACUCCUACGGGAGGCAGCAGUGAGGAAUAUUGGACAAUGGGCGCAAGCCUGAUCCAGCCAUGCCGCGUGCAGGAAGACGGUCCUAUGGAUUGUAAACUGCUUUUGUACGGGAAGAAACACUCCCUCGUGAGGGAGCUUGACGGUACCGUAAGAAUAAGGAUCGGCUAACUCCGU